RNAcentral lists this long non-coding RNA (374 nucleotides) under Prunus persica (peach). RNAcentral describes it as "long non-coding RNA (PPER_LNC005170)". The record is from RNAcentral. Lineage: Eukaryota; Viridiplantae; Streptophyta; Magnoliopsida; Rosales; Rosaceae.
AGAGAAGUGAUAUGCUAAAGACAAAGUUUCACCAUGUAUAUCCCUUUCUUAAUCUUUGGUAGAACCACCUAUUUAUAGGCUUACAAGAUAGAAGAUUGAAUACCAUCAUUUACAAUAUACCUAUAGGUUACAAGUACUAAUUACAAAUACUUAGUGCAUAGGUUACAUAAAAUCCAACGGUGGAAUAUUAAGAGGUAUGGUGGUCAUCCACCAACUCAUGCAUUUACAACACUCUCCCUUGGAUGUCCACCACACAAUGACAUAGUUCCCUCAUUAAAAACCUUGCUUGGAAAACCCAGUGGGACAAAACCAAAUCGAAGGGAAAAAGAGUGAAACUUUCUUGUGAAUCAUUGAUAUGGUGUUGGAUAAGCUUA